AUGUUCGGCUUAUUUCCUCACCAGGUGGCAGCACUGCCUUCUUUGGACACAGAAACUGUGGCGGCGAAUGCGCCACUGUGUUUUGCACUGUGUGGAGUACGUGCGGUGUCGGUCCGAGGGACUGAAUUUCGGUGAAUUUGAUAGCAAUUGAUUUGAAUUUUGCUUAGAUGGGUUGUGAAUUUAUAUUCAGCAAGUGUCACAAACAUGGAAAGGCAAGUUUACAAAGGACAGGAGACUUAGAAAGGCUUCAAUUGACGUAGCCGAAGAGAGGCGAGAAGCCGAAGAUAGACCGACUCCAAACGGUGCCCAGUGCAAUCAUGCUUCUGGUGCGGAGCUGUCAGGAUGGAGUCCGAGGAAUCAAGGAAGGCAGAGGACCUGCGUAUGAAGGAACCAGCCCUGCGGAUGAAGUUCUGAGGUGCAAUGCUGCAUUGAUAAGAUCCAGAUUCAAGAGCAUGGAUGCUACCAGAUCCUGUGAUUUGAAGUUACCAGUGUCACUGCUGCUACAAAUGAGAUCAGCAACACUUCCUUUGGUGAAAGUUUAGAGGAGCAAACAGUUGGUGCUCUGUGUAGUCAAGCAGUGGAGUUUUGCACAAUCAUGAAGUUGAUUAAGGUGUCAAUUUUUGCUCUGGCUUCUGGGACACCUUGGAUCUACAUUGCAACCUAUGCUAGUGUUCAACAUUUUGUGUCAUAGUAUCACUGAUGCAAAGCGUGUUGCAUCAUACACAAAUGAGAGCUAGCAAAUUGUCAGAUAUUUUCUAGUGAUAGAGAACUGCAUGCCUC
This 780-nucleotide long non-coding RNA is filed under the name Amphibalanus amphitrite. Its description in RNAcentral is "uncharacterized LOC122364005, transcript variant X1". The record is from RNAcentral. Lineage: Eukaryota; Metazoa; Arthropoda; Thecostraca; Balanomorpha; Balanidae.